UACGAAGGGGGCUAGCGUUGCUCGGAAUCACUGGGCGUAAAGGGUGCGUAGGCGGGUCUUUAAGUCAGGGGUGAAAUCCUGGAGCUCAACUCCAGAACUGCCUUUGAUACUGCGAAUCUCGAGUCCGGAAGAGGUGAGUGGAAUUCCUAGUGUAAAGGUGAAAUUCGUAGAUAUUAGGAAGAACACCAGUGGCGAAGGCGGCUCACUGGUCCGGUACUGACGCUGAGGUGCGAAAGCGUGGGGAGCAAACAGG
RNAcentral lists this ribosomal RNA (253 nucleotides) under uncultured bacterium. RNAcentral's name for it is "partial 16S ribosomal RNA". It matches the Rfam family "Bacterial small subunit ribosomal RNA", at positions 524 to 776 of the family's 1533-position model. The record is from RNAcentral.